Molecule: ribosomal RNA, 253 nt
Filed under: uncultured bacterium
Lineage: Bacteria
Description: partial 16S ribosomal RNA
Rfam family: Bacterial small subunit ribosomal RNA
Source: RNAcentral
UACGGAGGAUCCAAGCGUUAUCCGGAUUUAUUGGGUUUAAAGGGUGCGUAGGCGGAUUGAUAAGUUAGAGGUGAAAUGUCCGAGCUCAACUCGGGAACUGCCUCUAAUACUGUUGAUCUAGAGAGUAGAUGCGGUAGGCGGAAUGUAUGGUGUAGCGGUGAAAUGCUUAGAGAUCAUACGGAACACCGAUUGCGAAGGCAGCUUACCAAUCUAUAUCUGACGUUGAGGCACGAAAGCGUGGGGAUCAAACAGG